This 253-nucleotide ribosomal RNA is filed under the name uncultured bacterium. RNAcentral's name for it is "partial 16S ribosomal RNA". It matches the Rfam family "Bacterial small subunit ribosomal RNA", at positions 524 to 776 of the family's 1533-position model. The record is from RNAcentral.
UACGUAGGGGGCAAGCGUUGUCCGGAAUCAUUGGGCGUAGAGCGCGUGUAGGCGGCUCGAUAAGUCUGCUGUGAAAGUCCAAGGCUCAACCUUGGGAUGCCGGUGGAUACUGUCGAGCUCGAGUCCGGAAGAGGAGUGUGGAAUUCCUGGUGUAGCGGUGAAAUGCGCAGAUAUCAGGAGGAACACCAAUGGCGAAGGCAGCACUCUGGGACGUGACUGACGCUGAGACGCGAAAGCGUGGGGAGCAAACAGG